RNAcentral lists this long non-coding RNA (707 nucleotides) under Betta splendens (Siamese fighting fish). RNAcentral's name for it is "lncRNA (ENSBSLG00000009280.1)". Lineage: Eukaryota; Metazoa; Chordata; Actinopteri; Anabantiformes; Osphronemidae. The record is from RNAcentral.
CUCUCCCGCCGGUCUGAUCGCUCAGGUCAAAGCUGCUUCUGCGCCUCCUCUGUGUGUUGUUGCUGGACGGCUGCUGAGUGCACAGGAGUGACAGGCUGACGGAGGGGGACCCCGCUUCCUGUAUCUGCUCUGAGCAGCUGUUUCAGACCCCGGGCGACCGAGCCCAGCGCUUUGGGGAACACUUGCCCUUUGCUGCAACGCCGACCUCCACGUUGAACUUUGGACACUAUUUUCUGGGAGGAGCUGCGUUUUGGAUGGACGGCCGGCGUGGAGGACGAUGGGAAGCGUGAACGUCCGGUCCCACAGCUCCCAUCGCGUGGAAUAAGAGAUGAAGUGAUGGAGCACGGAGGGACGGAGGAUGAGCAGUAAAACAGAGACAGAGCCGUACUAAUGAAAGAUAAUAAUCAAGAGCCUGAGACGAAAAACAAACCAAAUCAGACUCCAGCUGAGCUGAAGACAAUAUUUCACGUGAGCACAGCUGAAGAGGGUGAGUUGCUCUGAUGCUUCCACUCCUUUGAUGCCCAUGUGGUCCUUUUGGAGGUGUGUCAGAAGGAGUGAUGAGUAGAGGAAAGUGGAAGACGUGGGGCCCAGGUGAAGAGUUAAAUUAAGAAAAGAAGGCGCCGAGUUAAAGGGCAGGUGAAGAAGGAAUGCUUUGACUUGUGGGCCUCCCGGGGACCAUGACCUUAUUUCAAAUUCUGGGUGAGGGA